This 505-nucleotide ribosomal RNA is filed under the name uncultured bacterium. RNAcentral's name for it is "partial 16S ribosomal RNA". It matches the Rfam family "Bacterial small subunit ribosomal RNA", at positions 30 to 523 of the family's 1533-position model. The record is from RNAcentral.
UUGAACGCUGGCGGCAUGCCUAACACAUGCAAGUCGAACGGCAGCAUGGUCUAGUUUACUAGAUUGAUGGCGAGUGGCGGACGGGUGAGUAACGCGUAGGAAUAUGCCCUUUGGACUGGGAUAACUUGGGGAAACUCAAGCUAAUGCCGGAUGAUGUCUGAGGACGAAAGCUGGGGACCUUUGGGCCUGGCGUCGAAGGAGUAGCCUGCGUCUGAUUAGCUAGUUGGUGGGGUAAGGGCCUACCAAGGCGACGAUCGGUAGCUGGUCUGAGGGGAUGGACAGCCACACUGGGACUGAGAGACGGCCCAGACUCCUACGGGGGGCAGCAGUGGGGAAUAUUGGACAAUGGGGGGAACCCUGAUCCAGCAAUGCCGCGUGUGUGAAGAAGGCCUGAGGGUUGUAAAGCACUUUAGUUGGGGAGGAGGGUUUAUUGGUUAAGAGCUGAUGAGCUGGACGAUACCCAAGGAAUAAGCACCGGCUAACUCCGUGCCAGCCGCCGCCGUAA